Molecule: ribosomal RNA, 467 nt
Filed under: uncultured bacterium
Lineage: Bacteria
Description: partial 16S ribosomal RNA
Rfam family: Bacterial small subunit ribosomal RNA
Source: RNAcentral
ACGCACGCUGGCGGCGUGCUUAACACAUGCAAGUCGAACGGAAAGGCCCUGCUUUUGUGGGGUGCUCGCGUGGCGAACGGGUGAGUAACACGUGAGUAACCUGCCCUUGACUUUGGGAUAACUUCAGGAAACUGGGGCUAAUACCGGAUAGGAGCUCCUGCUGCAUGGUGGGGGUUGGAAAGUUUCGGCGGUUGGGGAUGGACUCGCGGCUUAUCAGCUUGUUGGUGGGGUAGUGGCUUACCAAGGCUUUGACGGGUAGCCGGCCUGAGAGGGUGACCGGCCACAUUGGGACUGAGAUACGGCACAGACUCCUACGGGAGGCAGCAGUGGGGAAUAUUGCACAAUGGGCGGAAGCCUGAUGCAGCAACGCCGCGUGCGGGAUGACGGCCUUCGGGUUGUAAACCGCUUUCGCCUGUGACGAAGCGUGAGUGACGGUAAUGGGUAAAGAAGCACCGGCUAACUACGUG